UUAACAUGCAGUUCGCACGGGUCGGGCUUCGGCAUCGGAUAGGUGGCGGACGGNGUGUAGAUAUCNCGUUAAGGUAUGCUAUCGCUUGGGCUGGGAGAUAGCCAUUGGGAAACUGGGGGAUAAUACCGCAUGACGCCUGUGGGCCAAAGGCAGUGAUGCCGCCUGACGAGCAGCCUGCGUCCGAUUAGCUAGUUGGUUGGGUAAUGGCUGACCAAGGCUGUGAUCGGUAGCUGGUCUGAGAGGAUGAUCAGCCACACUGGGACUGAGACACGGCCCANACUCCUACGGGAGGCAGCAGUGGGGAAUAUUGGACAAUGGGCGCAAGCCUGAUCCAGCAAUGCCGCGUGGAUGAAGAAGGUCUUCGGAUUGUAAAGUCCUUUCGGCGGGGACGAUGAUGACGGUACCCGCAGAAGAAGCCCCGGCUAACUUCGUGCCAGCAGCCGCGGUAAUACGAAGGGGGCUAGCGUUGCUCGGAAUGACUGGGCGUAAAGGGCGCGUAGGCGGAUGUUUUAGUCAGGCGUGAAAGUCCUGGGCUCAACCUGGGGAUUGCGUUUGAUACGGGGCAUCUAGAGUUGGGAAGAGGGUCGUGGAAUUCCCAGUGUAGAGGUGAAAUUCGUAGAUAUUGGGGAAGAACACCGGUGGCGAANGCGGCGACCUGGUCCUUGGCUGACGCUGAGGCGCGAAAGCGUGGGGAGCAAACAGGAUUANAUACCCUGGUAGUCCACGCUNUAAACGAUGUGCGCUGGAUGUUGGGCGGCCUAACCGCUCANUGUCUACCUAACGCGGUAAG
Molecule: ribosomal RNA, 790 nt
Filed under: uncultured bacterium
Lineage: Bacteria
Description: bacterial SSU rRNA
Rfam family: Bacterial small subunit ribosomal RNA
Source: RNAcentral